RNAcentral lists this ribosomal RNA (497 nucleotides) under uncultured bacterium. RNAcentral's name for it is "partial 16S ribosomal RNA". It matches the Rfam family "Bacterial small subunit ribosomal RNA", at positions 28 to 507 of the family's 1533-position model. The record is from RNAcentral.
GACGAACGCUGGCGGCGUGCUUAACACAUGCAAGUCGAACGGUGAAGUGCCUUCCUUUUUGGUGGGUGGGGAUGAGCGGCCAACGGGGGAGUAACACGUGAGUAACCUGCUCCCUCCUUCUGGACAACCGCAUGACAGUGUGGCUAAUACGGGAUAUUCUGGGUCUGUCGCAUGAUGGGUCUGGGACAGAUUUGGUGUCGGUGGGGGAUGGGCUCGCGGCGUAUUAGCUUGUUGGUGGGGUAAUGGCCUACCAAGGCGGCGAUGAGUAGCCGGCCUGAGAGGAGGGUCGACGGUCACAGAGGGGCGGAGACACCGCCCAGACUACUAGAGGAAGCAGUAGUGGAGAAUACGGCACGAUGGGAGGAAGGCUGAUGCAGCGACGCGGGGGGAGGGAUGGUGGCCGUCGGGUUGUGAACCUCUUUCGGGAGUGAAGCAGGGCUGCCUUGUUUGUGGGUGGGUUGACGGUAGCUGGACAAGAAGCGCCGGCUAACUACGUG